Molecule: ribosomal RNA, 253 nt
Filed under: uncultured bacterium
Lineage: Bacteria
Description: partial 16S ribosomal RNA
Rfam family: Bacterial small subunit ribosomal RNA
Source: RNAcentral
UACGUAGGGGGCUAGCGUUGUCCGGAAUUACUGGGCGUAAAGCGUGCGCAGGCGGUUCUGAAAGUCAGCUGUGAAAGCCCCGGGCUUAACCUGGGAAUGGCGGUUGAAACUACAGGACUAGAAUCUGGCAGAGGGGGGUGGAAUUCCACGUGUAGCAGUGAAAUGCGUAGAGAUGUGGAGGAACACCGAUGGCGAAGGCAGCCCCCUGGGCUGAGAUUGACGCUCAGGCACGAAAGCGUGGGGAGCAAACAGG